RNAcentral lists this unclassified non-coding RNA (3003 nucleotides) under Pectinophora gossypiella (pink bollworm). RNAcentral's name for it is "protein turtle-like". Lineage: Eukaryota; Metazoa; Arthropoda; Insecta; Lepidoptera; Gelechiidae. The record is from RNAcentral.
CGCGUCGCCGAGCCCGCGCCACCUGUCCACGCCGGCACGACUCGCAGCCGCACUCGCCGCUCCGCUGAAUGAAACCCCUCACCCUAUCAUGAUUUCAGACGCUACUCCUAAUUAUCAAGUGCUAUAACGUCUCCUGUAUGGUGGCCGCGAGUGGUGGUGCCCGGGGUGCGCGCGGGUAAACAACCGGUCCAGAUAGGAAGCUGCGUCGGCUCACGCCCGACUACAGUGGAAUGCGGCAAUUUUAACUACUGCGGACCACGGGACCCCAUUUACGAAUAGGGAUCGAACAAUACUGACCAUACAAGAACAGUUUUUCUCGGUGUUGGAGAGUUGUAUGCGGCUCUGGAAUAGUGUCUGGCUGUGGUCGGAUGCAGCGAAUGGUGAUGCAUCAACGAUGAGUCGCCGCGCGCGGCCGUGACAUGGGAGCGCAGGCAUGGGCUGGCGCGCCGUGCAACCGCCGCACAUCGCCGCCGGCUUGCUGUUACUGCUGCUAGCCAACCUGCCAGUGACCUGCCACCAAGACCACCAAGAUGCUGUGCAUAUCACGGCGAUCCUCGGCGAGAGCGUCGUGUUCAACUGCCAGGUGGACUUCCCUGAAGACAUCCCGGUGCCGUACGUCUUGCAGUGGGAGAAGAAGGUAGGCGAAACGGGACAGGACAUCCCGAUCUACAUCUGGUACGAGAGCUACCCGACGCACAGCGGCGAGGGCUACGAGGGGCGAGUUUCCCGCGUGGCCCCGGACUCGCCUUACGGCGCGGCCAGCCUCAACCUCACUAAUAUCCGCGAGUCUGACCAGGGGUGGUACGAGUGUAAGGUGGUCUUCCUCAACCGGUCCCCCAACCAGCACAAGAACGGAACCUGGUUCCACCUCGACGUGCACGCGCCACCGCGCUUCUCCAUCACACCGGAAGACAUUAUCUACGUUAAUUUAGGAGAUGCUAUCAUCCUCAACUGCCAGGCCGAGGGCACGCCCACGCCCGAGAUCCUGUGGUACAAGGAUGCGAACCCCGUGGAACCGUCAGGGACCGUGGGCAUAUUCAACGACGGGACUGAGCUGCGCAUCAGCAACAUCCGACACGAAGACAUCGGCGACUACACCUGCAUCGCGCGCAACGGCGAAGGGCAGGUGUCGCACACCGCACGCGUCAUCAUCGCCGGCGGUGCUGUUAUUACCAUGCCCCCGACAAACCAAACGAAGCUAGAGGGGGAGAAGGUCCAAUUCUCUUGUGAAGCUAAAGCACUGCCAGGGAAUGUGACUGUGAAGUGGUUCCGCGAAGGCGCGCCAGUGGCGGAGGUGGCAGCACUAGAAACACGUGUAACCAUCCGGCGAGACGGCGCGCUCGUCAUCAACCCGGUAGCCGCUGACGACUCCGGACAGUAUCUCUGCGAAGUUUCCAAUGGCAUCGGAGACCCGCAGAGCGCAUCGGCCUAUCUUAAUGUUGAAUAUCCAGCGAAAGUAACGUUCACGCCUACGGUACAAUACCUUCCCUUUCGACUCGCUGGAGUGGUGCAGUGCUACAUAAAAGCGAACCCGCCACUACAGUAUGUCACGUGGACGAAAGACAAGAGGCUUCUAGAGCCCUACCAGACGAAGGAUAUCGUCAUCAUGAACAAUGGCUCGCUACUCUUCACACGCGUCAAUCAGAACCAUCAAGGAAGAUAUACGUGCACGCCUUACAACGCGCAAGGGACUCAAGGGUCGUCAGGUCCUAUGGAAGUUUUAGUGCGGAAGCCACCUGUGUUCACUGUAGAACCAGAACCUUUAUAUCAACGAAAGGUGGGAGAAUCGGUAGAAAUGCACUGUGAGGCGCAAGAAGCCGAGGGAACGCAGCGACCCAGCGUGACGUGGCGACGGCGUGAUGGUCUACCGCUGCAGAAGAACCGAGUCCGGGCGCUCGGGGGAAACAUCACCAUUGACACGCUGCGUCGGCAGGACUUCGGCAUCUAUCAGUGCGUCGCUUCUAACGAGGUGGCAACGAUAGUAGCGGACACGCAGCUGGUGAUAGAGGGGACGCAGCCGCACGCGCCGUACAACGUGUCUGGCACGGCGACGGAAUUCUCUGUGACGCUGCGCUGGCAGCCCGGGUACGCCGGCGGGCCCGACUACAAGCAGGACUACACCAUCUGGUACCGCGAGGCCGGCUUCUCCGAGUGGACCAAAGUGCCCGUCACUCCUUCUGGUGCUACUUCUGUAACUAUAAAUAGACUCCAGCCAGGAACGACCUACGAAUUUCAAGUGAACAGCAAAAACACAAUAGGCGAAGGGAUGAUGAGCAAAGCUAUAACGAUACGAACUCUCGAUGUAGGUGCCAGACCGAAGGCGCCGCCAAGCUCUCCGGGGCCUGUAGACGAGAAAAUAUUCGUAAACGCUCCCAGGGACUCGGGUCCUCGGCCGGGCAACCCUCGCAACCUGACUGUGACAGAGGUCCAUAAUGGGUUCCUGAUCACGUGGCAAGCGCCGCUGGAGCGCGCCAACCUGGUCCAAUACUACACCAUCAAGUAUCGCACUGACGCUCAGUGGAAGACGCUCAAUCGGGGACAGAUCCGCCCUGAGGAGACUAGUUAUUUAGUGAAGAACCUGGUCGGAGGCCGUACGUAUUACUUCCGGGUGCUAGCAAACUCUGCCACCAGCUACGAGAGUUCUGAGGAAGUGAAGUUCCCGGUGCCAGCGAGGGUGAAGCACAAAGCGAUCACGGCGGGCGUCGUCGGAGGGAUCUUGUUCUUCAUCGUGGCUAUUAUUCUGUCAGUGUGCGCCGUCAAGAUCUGCAACAAGCGCAAGCGCCGCAAGCAGGAGAAAGAAAUUAUUCGCUUGCAGCAUACAACAUGGUAGCCGCGCGGCUCACCGACCUCCGCGCCGCAGACAGCACUCAAGUGCCUUUUAAGAAAUUUAGAGAAAGCGGAAUAUCGAGUAUAGUGCAGUGUCUGAAGUUCACGGCCAACUGGGUGUGGCCGGCGUCGCGGUGCGGCGGCGAGCCGCAGUACUGGGCGCGGGCGGCGCCGGCG